RNAcentral lists this ribosomal RNA (532 nucleotides) under uncultured bacterium. RNAcentral's name for it is "bacterial SSU rRNA". It matches the Rfam family "Bacterial small subunit ribosomal RNA", at positions 977 to 1509 of the family's 1533-position model. The record is from RNAcentral.
GGCCUUGACAUACUAAGAACUUUCCAGAGAUGGAUUGGUGCCUUCGGGAACUUAGAUACAGGUGCUGCAUGGCUGUCGUCAGCUCGUGUCGUGAGAUGUUGGGUUAAGUCCCGNAACGAGCGCAACCCUUUUCCUAUUUGCCAGCGGGUCAUGCCGGGAACUUUAAGGAUACUGCCAGUGACAAACUGGAGGAAGGCGGGGACGACGUCAAGUCAUCAUGGCCCUUACGGCCAGGGCUACACACGUGCUACAAUGGUCGGUACAAAGGGUUGCUACCUCGCGAGAGGAUGCUAAUCUCAAAAAGCCGAUCGUAGUCCGGAUCGCAGUCUGCAACUCGACUGCGUGAAGUCGGAAUCGCUAGUAAUCGCGGAUCAGAAUGCCGCGGUGAAUACGUUCCCGGGCCUUGUACACACCGCCCGUCACACCAUGGGAGUUUGUUGCACCAGAAGUAGGUAGUCUAACCGCAAGGAGGACGCUUACCACGGUGUGGCCGAUGACUGGGGUGAAGUCGUAACAAGGUAGGCGUAGAUGA